UGACUGCAUGAGCUGAUUUUGUCUCAUGUGAGAAAAAAAUAUUAGCUGCAUGGGAUGUUGUAUGGGCUGGUAUACGUGUGCUGCUGCAUGGCUCAUGCAUGCAUGCAUGUGUCCAUCUUUGCAUGUUUGGAGUUCCACGUUUGCACAUCGUUUGUGUUCUGGGUCCUUCUUUGCUUGCCUAUAAGUAGCUCCUUGCUGUGUUCUUCUCUUAUGUGUCAAACCACUCCUCACCUAUAGGCCCAUCUCUCCUCCUGAUGCUGCCCUCCAGCCUCCACCCAAGAUCCCAUGGUGCGCCUGGUUGCCGCUCCGUCUGGCCGGCCGGGAGGUGCGUGCAAGCUACACCAUGAAUCAGGAGAGCCGCAUGACAUCAUCUUCUCAUAGAUCUUCCUCGGCUCCGGCUCUGUCCCUGGCCUCCAAGGCGGAUACAUGGCGGUGGCCUUCCCAUGGUCCAAGGUGGCACGCCUGCAGUUGGCGCUGGAUAGCUCGCUGCCCUGCCGCUCUCCAUCCUAAUCGACUCCCCUCAGUCUUCCCCAACUUCGGCCCCGGCAAUAGGUCCCCUUCAUCUCCCUUUCCUCUCCUCUGGUGUGCGUGGUUUCCUUGUACGAGUAGACGAGUUAUUAGUACUAGAAUUUCAUCAGAUCUAAAGUUGGGUGCAUAUGCUACAAAUUCUUAAUCUAAGAAGAAUGUUCAGGCAUUGCGUGCAUGUCUGUGCUGAGGACACAAAUUUGGGGGUCCAGCUCCUUGUGUGAAUGUGCAAGGAAUUCGGAACCUGCAUCUUUAAUAUGACAUGGUAUAUUUAUUCUUAAUCUCUCCAUUACGUUUUGUGUUUCAUUUUCUCGAUGGAAGUAAUUGUGGUUUAAUUUCACAUGGUUUUUAAACAAAUAAACACAUGAUGUGCUGAAUAGCUGACAUGCAGAGGAAAUGGUACAGCUUGAUGACUAUUUUACUACUAAAUUAUUCUCAGGUAUUUAUUGUUCCUUUUGUGAUAGUUUUCUCUCUCCUAAAAAUAAAAUGAAUCAUUUUUAAUUCUUUGAACAAGUUUGCCUAAAGUAGGGCGCUCAGCCAUUGAGGCAUUAUCAAUUUCUUUUAGAAGCUUAGCAAAAUCUGCUCUUGUACUAAAGAAAUCUAAUGUAGAUUUGUUAGCCUUAUAGGGUACUAUAUGCUGAACACAUGAUAUUAAAUAUACAAUAAAUUGCACUGUGAAGUGAGUAUGUAUAUACUAUCCACACAGGAUUGCCAUUUUGGAGAUGUUGUGUCACAUCCCUAGCUGCUGGUAGUGCUCUAGGCUAGCUCAUGUGUGCAUCAUGUUUAAAUUUUUGAAACUUGAACUGAGGAAUUUUGGAAGCCUCAAAAACUUAAAUAAAAGAGGGGCAAAAACCCUAGAAAUCUCAUUCAUUGCUCCAAAAUGCUCUUCGUAAAUGUUUAAUAAUUUUUGGUAAGGGUUCUGGUCCCAACCAAAAUAUUGAACAUUUUUAAGGAAUUAUUUUUGGGACUUUGGAUUUAAUUCAUUAGCUAUUUGAAUUUGAAUUAUAUUCAUAUAAUUAGAAUAUAAUUUCAAAUACCCCUGAUAUAUUUUAUAAGCUUUUGGAAAAGUCCAUUUAGCAAUAUAAAAUAUUCAGAGGAGUUUUUAGCUUUGUUUGAAUUUUUUUAAAUUCAAAACAGUGGCAAAAUAAAUUAAAUAAACAAAACAGAAGAAAAAAAUAAAAAGAACAGAAGCCUACCUGGGCCACUUACCUGUAGCCGGCCCAGCUGGCCAGCUCCUCCCGCUGGCCCAGCCCACCGCCGCCUCCCUCCCCUGUCGCCUUCCUCCUCUGCCAGGAGGACGGGCACGCGCCCGGCGCGCGCGGCCACGCGCCCCGGCCACCUCCUCCCUGCCUGGCUGCCUCCUCCUCCCCUGGUCCCUCCCGCGACGCCACGCAGUCCCCGACCCCCUCUCCCUUCUCCCUCUCUCCCGCGUCCUCAUCCUCUCCCCGGAACCCUCUCCCCCCCCUCCUCUGUUCUCCUCACCGAGCGGAGCCCGUCGCCGCCGCUCGCCAUAACCACGGCCACCGGGCCUCCCUCGCUCCCCCGACUAGCCCAGAGGCUCCGCCUCGACCCCCUCUUCCCUCUCCACCGACCCACGGCCCUCCGGAAGCCCUGCAACGCCGCCACCAUCGCCGUUCCGUCGCCGGCCACCGAAGCUCACCGUUGGCGAUUCGCCGCCUCCGACGCCUCCCCGAGCUCCCCGAGGCCACCGUCGCAACCCCUGUGAGCUCCGCCACCGUUUCCCCCUCUUUCCCUCUUCGUUUGGUUGCCGUAGCCGUCGCCCCCUUGAUGACCGAAACCCGCCGCCGUCUGUGAUCGCCGCCGACGUGCCUCCGGCCACCUAGUGGCCCGGCUGUCGUGCUCAGCUUCCUCCCCGCGCUGCCUGGAACACGUAGGUGCCCCGCACGAGCCUCCCCGGCCACCGUAGCGUCAACCCCGAGCUCGCCCGAGCUCCGGCGACCGCCACGCUCGACGCCGGUGACGACUCCGGCCAUCUUAGGCCCAGCCGCUGCCACUACUCGACGCGGACGAGCGCCCGCGUCACGUAGACGCUCUCCGCCGGCCAUUUGGUCAUCGGAGGAGGAAACCCGCACCCCUCCGCCGUUUCUGGCUCCGCCGGCGACGAGUCGCGGGUCAACUCCGGCGAGUUGACCCAGGUUUGACGUUCCCCGUGUGUCACUGACGUGUGGGCCACCCCCCUGACAUUUUAGUUAGUAUUAGUUUAACACUAAUUAACCUAGGUUAGUUAGCUGAUUAGUCGCUGACCAGUGGGCCCCGGCCCCACAAACAGUUUAGUUAGAAUUAACUUAAGGCUAAUUAACUUGGUUAAUUAGUUGUGUCACUGACCAGUGGACCCCACUGGUCAGGUUUGACCUGAAUCUGCCCCGUUGACCUGAUGACGUCAAGGUGAUGUCAUGCUGACGCAUUAAAUGAUUUUCUGGAUUUAAAAUAAAUCAGAAAAUCCAGAAAAUUGUAUAAACUUCUAAAAUUCAUAGAAAAUUAACCGUAACUCCAAAUUAAAUAAAUUAUAUAUGAAAAAUUAUCAGAAAAAUUCAAGGAAUCCAUCUGUACCAUUUUCAUGCAUGUUAGAACAACUUAUAGAUGCUGUUUAGCACAAAUCAAUUAAAUGGCAUUUAAAUAAUCACAUAUGGAGUUUGAAUUUGAAUCUUGUAUUCAAACCAACCCCAUUUAACUUGUUGCUAGAUGCAUUAGCCCAAAACACAUUCAUUUUGCCAUGUCAUGAUCAUGCAUCAUAUUGUGCAUUGGAUUGAUUGUGUUCCCUUCUGUGUUGCCGGUAUUUGUCCCCUCUCGAUAGACGUGAUACCGAUGAUGUGAUCGUUGACACUGAUGAAGACUCAAUGCUAUCUUCAGAAGUGCCAGGCAAGCAAAACCCCCUUGUUCAUUCCGAUAUAAUCCUACUCUCUCGCUCCUGCUCUCUUUUACUGCAUUAGGACAACACCGAUUCAUCUGUUACUUGCUGCGGUAGCUGAACCCCUUUAUCCUUUGCAUGACCUGUCAUUGCCACAGUAAAUAGACGAAACCCACUAGCAUGAGUAGGAGUUGUUUGAGCCCUGAUGUGCCUACUCAUUCAUGCUUGUUUGUCAUGCCUGCUACUGCUUAGAGUUGAGUCAGGUCUGAUUCAUCGGGGAUGAAUCAGAGGCGUGUGAACAUGUCCUACUGUGUGUGAGCUAGGUGUGUGAACACGAUUUGGUAAAGGUAGCGGUGAGAGGCCAUGUAGGAGUACAUGGUGGGUUGUCUCAUUGAAGCCGUCCUCAGGAACUGAGUUCUGUGUUUGUGAUCCAUGAUUCAGCUACUACCAUACAUUGGGCCCUGAAAUAUGACCCCGCUCGACUUCUUAUUCACCCUAGUCCUCUGUCCAGGAGUUGCAAGUAGUUUCUGGUGUUUGUAGCUUACUGGAGGCCGUGGACAGCGCUGACCGUAGGGGUGGGCUGUGAUGCGGUAGGUACGUGGCACGGUGUACCGGAUGCCCGUUUGGUAUCUCGGGAACCCUGUUCACAUCGUUUGGGGCUGUGAGCGAAACUCCGGCCGGAUCUCCUCAUGGAUGGAACCCGAAUAGGCGAUAAACCUGGACUAGAGACUUGAGUGUUUAGGUAGGUCGUGGUCUACACCCACGUCGGCUUUCGCUUGAAGUCUGCCGAGCACAUGUCGUGUGCAGACGCUAAGUGGUGGAAACAUGUAUGAAGAAGUACACCCCUGCAGGGUUAACAUCAUCUAUUCGAAUAGCCGUGUCCGCGGUAAAGGACUUCUGGGUUGCUUACAUCAGUUCAUAGACAAGUGAAAGUGGAUACUUUAAAAUGCGCAAGAUAAGCGUGAGUGCUAUGGAUGGCGUUCUCGUAGGGAGACGGGAGCGGAUCCAUAGUGGUGUAUUGAUAUGGUGAAUAUGUGGACUCGUGUGCGCCACCUCAAAAGAGUUACAUUGCAGUCGUAGUUUAGGAUAGCCACCGAGUCAAAGCUGGCUUGCUGCAGUUAAACCCCACCAUCCCCUUUGUUGAUAAUGAUGCAUAUGUAGUUAGUUCUGAUGUAAGUCUUGCUGGGUACAUUUGUACUCACAUUUGCCUAUUUUAUGUUUUUGCAGAGAGACUUCAGUCUCACUAUUAGUUCCGCUUGGACUUCGACGUUUAGCUUGUUACCUCAGCUACGAUCUUGUGCCCUCGGCAGGAUCUGGUAGAUAGUCAGGCUUCUCAGCCUUUUUCAUUUAUAGAUGUCUGUACUCAGACAUGAUAGCUUCCGCUUGUGCUUUGACUUGUAUGCUCUGAUUGUUGGGUCAUGAGACCCAUGUUUGUAAUGUCUCGCUCCUCGGAGCCUAUUGAAUAGACUACUUGAGUCGUAGAGUCAUUUUGUGAUGCCAUGUUGUAUUGCACAUAUCGAGCAUAUUGUGUGUAUGUUAUUGAAAUGCUUGGUAUGUGUGGGAUCUGACUAUCUAGUUGUUUAUCUUUAGUAGCCUCUCUUACCGGGAAAUGCCUCCUAGUGUUUCCACCGAGCCAUGGUAGCUUGCUACUGCUCCGGAACACUUAGGCUGGCCGGCAUGUGUCCUUCUUCGUUCCUGUGUCUGUCCCUUCGGGGAAAUGUCACGCGAUGAAUACCGGAGUCCUAUUAGCCCGCUACAGCCCGGUUCACCGGAGUCCUGCUAGCCCAGUGCUACAGUCUGGAUUCACUCGCUGAUGACCGACACGUUCGAUGCUGGGUCAUGGAUGCCUGUCCCUGUAAGUUUGUGCCACUUUGGGUUUACGACUAGCCAUGUCAGCCCGGGCUCCUUAUCAUAUGGAUGCUAGCGACACUGUCAUAUAUGUGUGCCAAAAGGCGCAAACGGUUCCGGGUAAAGGUAAGGCGACACCCGUGGGAAUACCGUGCGUGAGGCCGCAAAGUGAUAUGAAGUGUUACAUGCUAGAUCUAUGUGGCAUUGAGUCGGGGUCCUGACAUGUUGCUGGGAUCAUCAUGGAUUGGGAUGCAUUUUGAUAAUAAGAUAUUAGGUAUUGAUAUGUGAUAUGUAUGUCACACUUGACUUCAUCAUCCUUUGUUUUUAGAUGUAUUCUUUAGGCAUACAUUAAUGUGGUAGCUUGGUCAUAUUAUUUAGCUAAUUUAGUCACUAAAUACUCGGAUUUUUUCCCGACUCCCAUUAUAAAGAACUUCCACUUGCCAUCUCUAUAUGAAUUUUCUUUUUGCUACCGAUUUUGGCUAAAGGUUUUUUGGCUCUCAUCUCUAUAUGGAUAUGUUUUUUUAAGGUUAGUAGUUUAGAAGUUCCUGCCAACACUGGUUUUUCGAAGUUAUACUCCCUUCACCAGUUGGGCUUAACAAGGACAUAAUUAAUUCUCUGUUGGUAAUUAGAAGGAAAAAAAUCUGGUUGGAGAAAACUUCUCUUUUGCUUAAUUGUUUACUUCAUAAUUUUAGUAAAAAAAAUCAUUUUUUUCAGGUUAGUAGUAUGGGAGUACCUGUCAAGACUGACUUUUGGAAGUUAUGCUAGCCUCAUCAGUUGGGCUUUCUAUACAAAACUAGACUCAAUAUAAUUUAUUUUGGUGCUUGCGAUGAGUAUUAGACAGAGGGGUGAUGACCACAUAGUUCACCCAGUGUAUCUGUUCAUGUAUGUCAUUAAUUAUCUAAUUAGACAAAAAAAACUCUCUCUGUAUGGUGUUUGUGAUGAUGCUGUCAAUUUACUAAACACUAAAAUACCAGGUUGUUAUUUUCAAAUCUAGCAAAUUAAUUUUCUCUAUUGCUUCUUUUCCAGGCAGAAGUUUUAGUCUAUUAUGUUCCAUGAGUCUUACUGUCAAAA
This 6313-nucleotide long non-coding RNA is filed under the name Triticum aestivum (bread wheat). RNAcentral describes it as "long non-coding RNA (TAES_LNC005604)". Lineage: Eukaryota; Viridiplantae; Streptophyta; Magnoliopsida; Poales; Poaceae. The record is from RNAcentral.